AGUGAACGCUGGCGGUAGGCCUAACACAUGCAAGUCGAACGGCAGCACAGGAGAGCUUGCUCUCUGGGUGGCGAGUGGCGGACGGGUGAGGAAUACAUCGGAAUCUACUUUUUCGUGGGGGAUAACGUAGGGACACUUACGCUAAUACCGCAUACGACCUACGGGUGAAAGCAGGGGAUCUUCGGACCUUGCGCGAUUGAAUGAGCCGAUGUCGGAUUAGCUAGUUGGCGGGGUAAAGGCCCACCAAGGCGACGAUCCGUAGCUGGUCUGAGAGGAUGAUCAGCCACACUGGAACUGAGACACGGUCCAGACUCCUACGGGGGGCAGCAGUGGGGAAUAUUGGACAAUGGGCGCAAGCCUGAUCCAGCCAUACCGCGUGGGUGAAGAAGGCCUUCGGGUUGUAAAGCCCUUUUGUUGGGAAAGAAAUCCAGCUGGUUAAUACCCGGUUGGGAUGACGGUACGCAAAGAAUAAGCACCGGCUAACUUCGUGCCAGCCGCCGCCGUAA
Molecule: ribosomal RNA, 506 nt
Filed under: uncultured bacterium
Lineage: Bacteria
Description: partial 16S ribosomal RNA
Rfam family: Bacterial small subunit ribosomal RNA
Source: RNAcentral